RNAcentral lists this unclassified non-coding RNA (348 nucleotides) under soil metagenome. RNAcentral describes it as "partial contains 5.8S ribosomal RNA, internal transcribed spacer 2, and large subunit ribosomal RNA". The stretch from base 1 to 120 matches the Rfam family "5.8S ribosomal RNA", at positions 35 to 154 of the family's 154-position model. The record is from RNAcentral.
GAUGAAGAACGCAGUGAAAUGCGAUAAGUAAUGUGAAUUGCAGAAUUCAGUGAAUCAUCGAAUCUUUGAACGCACAUUGCGCCCGCUGGUAUUCCGGCGGGCAUGCCUGUUCGAGCGUCAUUUCAACCCUCAAGCCCCCGGGUUUGGUGUUGGGGAUCGGCUCUGCCCUUCUGGGCGGUGCCGCCCCCGAAAUACAUUGGCGGUCUCGCUGCAGCCUCCAUUGCGUAGUAGCUAACACCUCGCAACUGGAACGCGGCGCGGCCAUGCCGUAAAACCCCAACUUCUGAAUGUUGACCUCGGAUCAGGUAGGAAUACCCGCUGAACUUAAGCAUAUCAAUAAGCGGAGGA